RNAcentral lists this long non-coding RNA (296 nucleotides) under Elaeis guineensis (African oil palm). RNAcentral's name for it is "long non-coding RNA (EGUI_LNC060163)". Lineage: Eukaryota; Viridiplantae; Streptophyta; Magnoliopsida; Arecales; Arecaceae. The record is from RNAcentral.
AUGCAAACAAAGACUUGAUUAAUCGACAGGGAGGAAAGCUUCCCCAAUGACUCCUCUACACUCUCACGACCCCGUCAAGAGCAGAGGGAAGACCCUCACUCAAACACAGAAGAAAAGGGGAGAUGAAAAGAAAAAGCGACGAACCACAUCGGCGAUAGGUGAAGAACGAACUACAUCAACGGCACAAGGGACCUCAUCCCGAUGAAAAAAAAAAUCCUUGUCGAAAAUCUCUAGUCCCUAAGGAUAAAUCGACACGACGAUGACCAAGAACCUUCAAACUACAUCGACGCCAAACA